UAUGAUCGCACGCUUUGUAACCCCGAAGCGGAACAAAGAGCACCAUAAUGGAUUCCCGCCUUGGCUAACGACACACAAAGAUGUGCAGUGUGGGGCCUUUUUGGCGUAGCAUCUUCUGUUGUCUUCUGUUGUGUUAUGGAGGACGAUGCACACCAGUGAGCAAUCUCGUGAAAGCGAAUGGUGGCAAUGCCAACCGUACGGGGCUACUACAUGGUAGCUCGGGUGAUAAAGGGAGACGGUUACUACCAGAGAUACUUGAAGACAAGACAGACAACAUUACGGAACAGAAGUCUUUUGUUUCACUGUCCUCCGGGGAUCGAAAAGGUUGUCAGUUCCCGCGGCCUACUGUUCACUGGCACGCAGAAGGACUGGCUGGGAAGAUCUCAAAAGCAAGUACAUCGGGUCAUGAGUUUAUCUACAGCGGCGAGUUCCCAAUUGGAGGAUACACGACUUGUCUUUCGCUGGAAGUGAAAAAUAUCGAUGGCCACCUGUGGCUGGGUGUCUUUUUCCGUCUCUGUGUCGGACCCAAAGAUGAAUUGUUACAGUGGCCUUUCAGAACGCCCUAUACUUUGUCUAUUCACCAUCCGAUGUACAAACAAAAGGAUAUAUCCCGUGCUCUACCGGGACUCACGAAUGAGAACAUGGAGCUCUUCAAGAGGCCACGAUGGAAAUGCAAUAAAGGAUGGGGAUAUGGGAAGUUCAUUCGCGUGACAGAUGUCAAAAAAGAAGGGUACAUGUUUGAUGAUGCAAUCUCUGUAUCAGUGACGCUGCUAACGGAGCAGUAAUGUUUGUACCGUUUUAUGUCGGGCUUAUUUGCUUUGUGUUCGAAAAGACGUGUCGUUACAAAUGGACAUUCUACAACUCAAACGACUGACAACAGUGUUGGGUCGAGUGCGUUUUAGAUAUGCAUAUACAGUUCGUUAUUUACGUCCUUCUCUAGUACACCGAUUUCGACUCACGGCUGCCACGUAACGAAAAACCAGAUGCAGUGCGUAGACAUCGCUGUAUUGUGAGACGAACGAACUGUCGCCAACAUUGUAUUGUUGUAUCAACACAGCUGUGCAUUAACACGUAGUAGAUUGUCGUAACUUCAAUGGUAAAAAUCUGUGUGUGUGUGUGACUACAGUCGAGAUCACCACUGCGACCCCAUCAACGUCACCGCCAGUUGCGCCGUGUAACCUCCUGCGUCCCGCCACGUGGAACAGAUCACCAUCAAGACUUCGAGGUUCAUCGUUUAGCAAAACGCAAAACAAGGAAAGAGAGAGUGAAAGAAAGGAACUGUAAAUCACAUCCUCCAAAAGGGAAAACGAAACUCAAGACCAGAAUUAACCGUUAUUUUUAGCUGGAACUGAAUCGUAAUCACUAGCACCAUCUCGGUGCUGAACUGGAACCGAGUGUAUCUAAAAACUUCGAUUACUGGUUCAGAAUACCGGUUCGGUUCGGGUUGGUGUGUGCCGCCUGUUGUCUAUCCUAUCGUCUGGUGGCGACGUCCGUGUUAUGUGUCAUAAUACUCAGGACCGGGAUUCGGUAGCGCAGGACAUACAAGGCCAAGGGUGAAGGAAGUUGUCCUCCCCCCGCCACUUAUAGAAGAAACAUGUUUUGUCAUUCCCUCGAAAGUAUUGCAGCAGGAGUGCAUUGCAACAACAUCACGUGAAACAUUAAAAACGUAGCCAAAGAACCUCAUUGUUCAAUAAGGCCGCACUGCUCUGCUGCUGCAAGUGUGUCGCGACUCGCCUGUCACAACAGUUCAGUCAUUCUAUUUGCAACUUGGAAGGGCUCCGGCGCCAGCAGCGGCAGCUGCGGCUUGGCGUACUUUUAUUCGUCUCGAGAUCGAACAGCGUCGCCACCAUGCGGCAGCUCCGUGAACUGCCCUCAGUGGGGAUUCGCGGCUUGAGCCGGUGCUUUCGCUGUGGUCAUCGUGCUCGAAAACAUGCCUGGAAGGUUUAGUUUCUGCACACUUGAGCUUUUAAAAUCGCUUCAAGAUGAGUGAAAAUGACUUAGUGAAUAACUUUUUUGAACUUGUCUAGCUCCCUGCACCAGACUGCUUAGCAGGGAAGAAAACCACAGAACCUUCAUAUGUUCAAGUAUGCGGAUCCCAAUCGGUCUUUGUUAUAUUAUAUUUGUCACUGCGGUUCUGUGUGUCAAACAAAACGUACCGAGAGCUGAGGUCAAUGUUGUAACAGUUCUUUUUUAAUCAUAAGUAUAACGAUGUCACGGUUAUUUGUAGAAUGGUUUCUCUGACGACCGUUCGAGGUUAUUUCAGAAUGUCCAAUUAUGGUAUUCUACGCGCGCUGGACACAAGGUUCAUUUGAUGUAUGAAUAUAUGUAUGACAUGGAAGUUUUAAACUGUGUGAAUUUCAA
Long non-coding RNA from Ornithodoros turicata, 2361 nucleotides. RefSeq lists it as uncharacterized. The transcript is spliced from 3 exons. The record is from RefSeq and is a predicted model, not a curated record. Lineage: Eukaryota; Metazoa; Arthropoda; Arachnida; Ixodida; Argasidae.